UAGACCCUGUUUCAGUCGAAGUCCAACGUCAUACGUCGGGUAUUUAUGUAGGCUGAAUGGGGUUAA
Molecule: non-coding RNA, 66 nt
Filed under: unclassified sequences
Description: DUF3800-VIII RNA
Rfam family: DUF3800-VIII RNA
About the family: Bacteroidetes, Cyanobacteria, Firmicutes, Planctomycetes (1 example), Proteobacteria, Tenericutes (1 example). Nearby to DUF3800
Source: Rfam by way of RNAcentral